RNAcentral lists this ribosomal RNA (446 nucleotides) under uncultured bacterium. RNAcentral describes it as "partial 16S ribosomal RNA". It matches the Rfam family "Bacterial small subunit ribosomal RNA", at positions 338 to 795 of the family's 1533-position model. The record is from RNAcentral.
CCUACGGGCGGCAGCAGUCGAGAAUCAUUCACAAUGGGGGAAACCCUGAUGGUGCGACGCCGCGUGGGGGAAUGAAGGUCUUCGGAUUGUAAACCCCUGUCAUGUGGGAGCAAAUUAAAAAGAUAGUACCACAAGAGGAAGAGACGGCUAACUCUGUGCCAGCAGCCGCGGUAAUACAGAGGUCUCAAGCGUUGUUCGGAAUCACUGGGCGUAAAGCGUGCGUAGGCUGUUUCGUAAGUCGUGUGUGAAAGGCGCGGGCUCAACCCGCGGACGGCACAUGAUACUGCGAGACUAGAGUAGUGGAGAGGGAACCGGAAUUCUCGGUGUAGCAGUGAAAUGCGUAGAUAUCGAGAGGAACACUCGUGGCGAAGGCGGGUUCCUGGACAUUAACUGACGCUGAGGCACGAAGGCCAGGGGAGCGAAAGGGAUUAGAUACCCUUGUAGUC